GACCUGCCCAAUGAGUAUUUAAAUGGCCGCGGUAUUCUGACCGUGCAAAGGUAGCAUAAUAAUUAGUUUUUUAAUUGAAAGCUUGUAUGAAAGGUUGGAUGAGAAAAUAACUGUCUCUAUUUAAAUUUUUUAGAAUUUUAUUUUUAAGUAAAAAAGCUUAAAUUGGAAUAGAAGACGAGAAGACCCUAUAGAGUUUUAAUUUGGUUGGGGUGAUCGAAAAAUUUAAUAAACUUUUUUUUUAUUCGAACAUUGAUUUAUGAAUUUUUGAUCCUUUUUUAAAGAUUAUAAGAUUAAAUUACCUUAGGGAUAACAGCGUAAUUUUUCUAGAGAGUUCAAAUCGAAAGAAAAGAUUGCGACCUCGAUGUUGGAUUAAAAUAAAAUUUUGGUGUAGAAGCUAA
This 398-nucleotide ribosomal RNA is filed under the name Galapaganus caroli. RNAcentral's name for it is "partial 16S ribosomal RNA". It matches the Rfam family "Archaeal large subunit ribosomal RNA", at positions 1946 to 2634 of the family's 2987-position model. Lineage: Eukaryota; Metazoa; Arthropoda; Insecta; Coleoptera; Curculionidae. The record is from RNAcentral.